This 253-nucleotide ribosomal RNA is filed under the name uncultured bacterium. RNAcentral's name for it is "partial 16S ribosomal RNA". It matches the Rfam family "Bacterial small subunit ribosomal RNA", at positions 524 to 776 of the family's 1533-position model. The record is from RNAcentral.
UACAGAGGGAGCAAGCGUUAUUCGGAAUUAUUGGGCGUAAAGGGUGCGUAGGCGGCCCAGCAAGUCUUGGGUGAAAUCCCUCGGCUCAACCGAGGAACUGCCCCGGAAACUGCUGGACUUGAGGCCGGGAGAGGGUGGUGGAAUUCCCAGUGUAGCGGUGAAAUGCGUAGAUAUUGGGAGGAACACCAGUGGCGAAGGCGGCCACCUGGACCGGUUCUGACGCUGAGGCGCGAAAGCGUGGGGAGCAAACAGG